This 2987-nucleotide long non-coding RNA is filed under the name Homo sapiens (human). Its description in RNAcentral is "non-protein coding lnc-ATIC-2:4". The record is from RNAcentral. Lineage: Eukaryota; Metazoa; Chordata; Mammalia; Primates; Hominidae.
GUUGUCGCCUCCAAGAAGGUGGGGGCCAGAGGGUGGGGAAGGGGACGGGUGGAGGGACAGAAGGGAUGCAGAGGACCAGAGAAGUUGUGGCUGCAGGUCCCCUCUUCCCGCUCGCGCCUGGGGUUCCCUCUCCUCCCCCUGUGCAGCACAGCCGGCGCGGGCGUCCGAGCGCCGGGAGCCGGGGCUUAUAUGGGACGGUCCCCUCCCGCCCCUCUGGAGGCCCGGGGCGCGGGGGAGGAGAGACCCGCCGGGCUGUCCCCGCCCCGCCCCACCCCACCCGCCCGCCCGCCCGCCGGCCGCCGCAGCCGACCGCGCGCCGAUUGGCCCGGGCUCCGGGUGACGUCACGGGGGACUGUGGGUUCGCAGCGAACAAAAGAGAUGCUGAUGGCCCGCCAGGACUGGGAAACUUUUUAGGGGAUGGGGGAAGGGAUGGGAAGCGGCUGGGAGGAAAGGGAGUGGCUGGACUUGUGUGAAGCGAAGGGGUUGCAAGACGCUCCCCCUUCCCUUUUCUUUUUUAUUGGGGGUGGUGGUAGUGUUUGAGGACAUUGCGUCACCUCUCUUCGGGGUGGAGGGGGGGAAUCUCUGCUUAUAGGAGUGUAUUUUGUGAGGAAGAAAACCCAUAAAAUAUCCACGACCUUGCAGCUGUUAAGAAUCCAGACUUUUCAGUCCCAGGGCGGGGCUGCCUUUCCCCCCAUCCCGCUCCCUUUCUUUGGACUAAAGGGUACUGACUCGGGACUCCCUUAUUUUGUCUUCACAGCUCCCUGUUCGGACUUCUUCCCUUCUCAGCGCUGUGCCUGUCUGGCUCUGAGAAAGGGCCAGCGGGCGAACGGGGAGCAAAGGGGAACAGAGACCUUUAAUGAGCUUCUACUAAGUACCGGGAGUUCCGCGGGGCGCUUUGCAGAUCCCGGGGAAGUUCAGAGAAUGAAGUUUUCUUUUGCAAGGACAAAGUAACAGUUUACUUUUUUACACAUGCAGGAAAGCCUUCCUUUCCUGGGGAUGGGACGCCCGUUUCCACUGAAAGUGAAAUCACUGUGAACAACCUGAAAAUUGGAAAGUUGGACCAGCUGUGGGGAGAGAAAGGUCUUCGUGUCCUUUCCCACGUUCACCGUGCCAGUUACACACAAAGCAGAGAUUUUUUUGCUUGAAUCAUUAAAAGCCGGGUGGGUGGGGGGCACCCUAUGUACUGUCUUGCCCUCCUUCGGCCCCUUUCUCACAUUUAUUUGCCAUUUUCUUUUUGCUGACAAGUUCCAUUACAGAAUGCCCCCUCCAUCCCCCGCCGCCAGAUUUUUUAUAUUUCAAUUGUUAUUUACUCCAAGAGUGUGGAAAGUUCUCCUUUAAGAUUCCCCCGCCUUGAACUCUAAACUCAGAGUGGAAAGGGAAUCUGAAAAGUCUCUCAUUUAGCAACACAUCACAUCAGUCCUUUUUGUCAGAUAAACACAGGCACAAUUGCUUUUAAAGAUCUUCAGAAGGAGGAGUCCACCACUUCCACAGUAGAUCCAGAGAGACCCGAACUGAAUGCUUUGCCUUCUCCUUGUGUUAGGAGUUCAGAGGUUCCAUUUGCUUUAAAACACAAGAAGCUACUAAUAAAAUAUAUUUAUUUCGGCAAGGUACCUAUUUUCUCCAAAAGUUUCACCUUCAGUAAUUGCCACAGGAGUAAUUAGAACUCUGUGUUCUAUAAAAUGCCUGACACAUUAAAGACACAAAAUUAGCAUUUGUUUUUAUUCAUGCAAGGAUUUAAAACCAAACCAAAACAAAGCAAAACACCCAGCAAAUAUCAGUUUCCUACAAAUAGUGUAAAAAAACCUCUUGAGGAAUCUUUGUGACCCACACUCCAAAUUGAAAGAGUGCCAUGGAUUUCCCCAAAUUUAGAAUCCUGUCUGGGUUAGAGGAUUUUUUUGGAAUUUCUCAUCACUUGACAAAACAGUUUUCUCUUUUCAAAUAUAAAAGAGCUCCUUGUAAAAUGCUUGGUAAAUUUCUGGGAAGCCGAGUGUUUCUUCCAGAGGGAAGGAUACCUGGAAAUCCGGAUGUAAGCAAGAUAAACCUGUAGCUAAAGCUUUCUUAAAAUUCAUUGAUUCUGGGGGAAGGAAAUAAGUGAUUAGAAAAGUAUUUGGUCAACCAAAACCAUGAUAGUUUGAUAUAUUUACUGCACUGAAAAUACACUAGAAUCAUAUGCAUAGUGGAGCUUGAAGUGGAAAGCCCACCUUACAUUUUGGAAGAAACUUUUAUAUUUCAAUCCCAUAGAUAUCUAAUUUAUUUAAGGAAACAGGAUAUCUCUGUCUCAUAAGAAAAAAAAUAACAUCUGACUGAUUUUUAUAGGAAUGCUUGGGAGUUUACUCUUUUACUUGAAAGGUUUUUUUUUUUUUUGCCUUUUUUUUUAAACUUUAGAAACAGAGGCGUUUCUUAGUUAAGAUAACAGGGCUUACUACAGUAUUCUUUAAUUAUCAAGGUCCCUUGUAACUCUAAGUCUGUUAUCUCUAAUUGGAGAGAUAAUUAAAUCUUAAAGACCACUCUGACUCUAAUUCAACCAACGUGUGUGGUGUCCAGGAUCGUUGGACUUCCUUAAGAAUUCUAUUUUAUCCAGGUGGGUUCUUCCUCAGUAAAUUGUAUUCUCCUAUUGGUAGGAAAUACUCUUGGAUUUCUUUCUUUCUUUCUUUUUCUUUCUUUCUUUCUUUCUUUCUUUCUUUCUUUCUUUCUUUCUUUUUCCUUCUUUCCUUCUUUCUUUCUAAAACUGUAUUCAGAGAGAGAAAUGUGACAAAAAAAGGGAAAUCAAUAGAGACAGAAAGUAGAUUCAUGGGUACCCAAGUUUAUGGGCUGGGAACAGGAAUUAACUGUAAAAGGGCACAGGGAAUCUUAUUGAGGUGAUGGAAAUCUGUGUUCUAAAACUACAUUGCAGUGAUGACUGUACAAUUUGGUAAAAGCUUCAAAAUUCUGGGGAUUAUACACAAAAUGAGUGAAUUUUACGGUAUGUAAAUUAUGCUUCAAUAAAG